UACAUAGGGGCGAGCGUUAUCCGGAAUUAUUGGGCGUAAAGGGUACGUAGGCGGGCCUGCAAGUCUGAUUUGAAAGCACACGGCUUAACCGUGUGAGGUAAUUAGAAACUACAGGUCUAGAGAGUGGUAGAGGUAAAUGGAAUUCCAAGUGGAGCGGUGAAAUGCGUAGAGAUUUGGAGGAACACCAGUGGCGAAGGCGGUUUACUGGGCCACAUCUGACGCUGAUGUACGAAAGCGUGGGGAGCAAACAAGAUUAGAUACCCCGGUAGUCCCUGAGCGGG
Molecule: ribosomal RNA, 281 nt
Filed under: uncultured prokaryote
Description: partial 16S ribosomal RNA
Rfam family: Bacterial small subunit ribosomal RNA
Source: RNAcentral